RNAcentral lists this ribosomal RNA (410 nucleotides) under uncultured bacterium. Its description in RNAcentral is "bacterial SSU rRNA". It matches the Rfam family "Bacterial small subunit ribosomal RNA", at positions 505 to 916 of the family's 1533-position model. The record is from RNAcentral.
GUGCCAGCAGCCGCGGUAAUACGGAGGGUGCAAGCGUUAUCCGGAUUCAUUGGGUUUAAAGGGUGCGCAGGCGGGAUACUUAAGUCAGUGGUGAAAUCCCGGGGCUCAACCCCGGAACUGCCAUUGAUACUGAAUAUCUGGAAUACGGUUGAAGUGGGCGGAAUGUAGCAUGUAGCGGUGAAAUGCAUAGAGAUGCUACAGAACACCGAUCGCGAAGGCAGCUCACUAAGCCGAUAUUGACGCUCAGGCACGAAAGCGUUGGGAGCGAACAGGAUUAGAUACCCUGGUAGUCCACGCCGUAAACGAUGAUAACUCGUUGUUGGCGACACACAGUCAGCGACUAAGCGAAAGCGAUAAGUUAUCCACCUGGGGAGUACGAUCGCAAGGUUGAAACUUAAAGGAAUUGGCGG